AUGAAAGAUCAAUUCGCCGGCCUUCCUAGUGAAGAUGCCGCUACUCAUCUAAACAAUUUUGUUGAUUUGUGUGAUAUGCAAAAGAAGAAAGAUACGGAUAACAAUAUUGUCAAACUGAAGUUAUUUCCGUUUUCACUUAGAGAUCGUGCUAAAGUUUGGUUUUCGUCUUUGCCUAAAAAUAGUAUUGAUUCUUGGAACAAGUGCAAAGAUGCUUUUAUCUCUAAGUAUUUUCCUCCCGCUAAGAUCAUCACUCUUAGGAAAGAUAUUAUGAAUUUUAAACAACUUGAUCAUGAGCAUGUUGCCCAAUCUUGGGAAAGAAUGAAAUUGAUGCUUCGCAAUUGCCCUACUCAUGGUUUGAACUUAUGGGUGAUCAUACAAAAUUAUUAUGCCGGAUUGAAUUUUGCUUCUAGAAAUCUUUUAGAUUCGGUCGCGGGAGGCACGUUUAUGGAAAUUACGUUAGGAGAUGCUACAAAAUUGCUUGAUAAUAUUAUGGCUAAUUAUUCUCAAUGGCACACCGAAAGAUCUCCUAGUAAAAAAGUGCAUGCUAUAGAAGAAAUCAAUGUUUUGAGUGAAAAGAUGGAUGAACUUAUGAAGAUGUUUGCUACUAAAAAUACUUCUCUUGAUCCCAAUGAUAUGCCUUUGUCCACUUUGAUUGAGAAUAAUAAUGAAUCUAUUGAUGUGAAUUUUGUUGGUAGGAAUAGUUUUGGAAAUAACGCGUAUAGAGGGAAUUUUAAUCCUAGGCCUUAUCCUAGUAAUCCUUCUAAUAAUUAUGGAAAUUCCUACAACAACUCUUAUGGAAAUUUUAAUAAGAUGCCCUCUGAAUUUGAGAGUAGUGUUAAAGAGUUUAUGAAUUCACAAAAGAAUUUCAAUGCUUUGCUUGAAGAGAAAUUGCUUAAAGUUGAUGAUUUGGCUAGGAAUGUUGAAGAAUUUCUCUUGAAAUUGAUUCUUUAA
Molecule: ribosomal RNA, 951 nt
Filed under: Triticum aestivum (bread wheat)
Lineage: Eukaryota; Viridiplantae; Streptophyta; Magnoliopsida; Poales; Poaceae
Description: partial small subunit ribosomal RNA
Source: RNAcentral